RNAcentral lists this ribosomal RNA (254 nucleotides) under uncultured bacterium. RNAcentral describes it as "partial 16S ribosomal RNA". It matches the Rfam family "Bacterial small subunit ribosomal RNA", at positions 524 to 776 of the family's 1533-position model. The record is from RNAcentral.
UACGUAGGGUGCAAGCGUUAAUCGGAAUUACUGGGCGUAAAGCGUGCGCAGGCGGUUUUGUAAGUUCGUCGUGAAAUCCCCGGGCUCAACCUGGGGAAUUGCGAUGGAGACUGCAAGGCUAGAAUCUGGCAGAGGGGGGUAGAAUUCCACGUGUAGCAGUGAAAUGCGUAGAGAUGUGGAGGAACACCGAUGGCGAAGGCAGCCCCCUGGGUCAAGAUUGACGCUCAUGCACGAAAGCGUGGGGAGCAAACAGG